RNAcentral lists this transfer RNA (75 nucleotides) under marine sediment metagenome. Its description in RNAcentral is "tRNA-Arg". It matches the Rfam family "tRNA". From Rfam's summary of the family: Transfer RNA (tRNA) molecules are approximately 80 nucleotides in length. Their secondary structure includes four short double-helical elements and three loops (D, anti-codon, and T loops). The record is from RNAcentral.
GUCCUUGUGGUGAAGUGGACAUCACGCGGCCCUGCGAAGGCCGAGUCCCAGGUUCGAGUCCUGGUGAGGGCACCA